Molecule: transfer RNA, 73 nt
Filed under: Listeria monocytogenes
Lineage: Bacteria; Bacillati; Bacillota; Bacilli; Caryophanales; Listeriaceae
Description: tRNA-Phe
Rfam family: tRNA
About the family: Transfer RNA (tRNA) molecules are approximately 80 nucleotides in length.
Source: RNAcentral
GGCUUGGUAGCUCAGUUGGUAGAGCACUUGAUUGAAGCUCAAGGUGUCGGCAGUUCGUUUCUGUCCCAAGCCA